This 104-nucleotide ribozyme is filed under the name Aedes aegypti (yellow fever mosquito). RNAcentral describes it as "drz-agam-1 ribozyme". It matches the Rfam family "drz-agam-1 ribozyme". Lineage: Eukaryota; Metazoa; Arthropoda; Insecta; Diptera; Culicidae. The record is from Rfam by way of RNAcentral.
UGCCCAGCAAGUCCUAUCCCUACCUCCUCGCGGUACUGGCAGGGGUAAGAGUAACCGUAGGGAAGAUCAGAUAAAAUCCCCUGGUCGUAUGCUGACAGGGAAGG